This 329-nucleotide ribosomal RNA is filed under the name uncultured eukaryote. RNAcentral describes it as "partial 18S ribosomal RNA". It matches the Rfam family "Eukaryotic small subunit ribosomal RNA", at positions 1470 to 1796 of the family's 1831-position model. The record is from RNAcentral.
CCCUUAGAUGUCCUGGGCUGCACGCGCGCUACACUGACACGUUCAUCAAGUCUAUAACCUUGACCGAGAGGUCUGGGUAAUCUUUUAAAAACGUGUCGUGCUGGGGAUAGAUUAUUGCAAUUAUUAAUCUUCAACGAGGAAUUCCUAGUAAACGCAAGUCAUCAACUUGCAUUGAUUACGUCCCUGCCCUUUGUACACACCGCCCGUCGCUACUACCGAUUGAAUGAUUUAGUGAGUACCAGGGACCGAGCGCUUUGGUUGGGUUUCCUUCCCUAGCGCUUGGGAACUGUCGCAAACUUGACCAUUUAGAGGAAGUAAAAGUCGUAACA